UACGAAUGGAGCGAGCGUUGUUCGGAAUCACUGGGCGUAAAGCGCAUGUAGGCGGACUGGACAGUCAGGAGUGAAAUCCCGGGGCUCAACCCCGGAACUGCUUCUGAAACUCCCAGUCUAGUGUCCCGGAGAGGUUGGCGGAAUUCCGCGUGUAGAGGUGAAAUUCGCAGAUAUUCGGAAGAACACCAGUGGCGUAGGCGGCCAGCUGGACGGGUACAGACGCUGAGAUACGAAAGCGUGGGGAUCAAACAGG
Molecule: ribosomal RNA, 253 nt
Filed under: uncultured bacterium
Lineage: Bacteria
Description: partial 16S ribosomal RNA
Rfam family: Bacterial small subunit ribosomal RNA
Source: RNAcentral